GAUGAACGCUGGCGGCGUGCCUAAUACAUGCAAGUCGAGCGAACGGACGAGAAGCUUGCUUCUCUGACGUUAGCGGCGGACGGGUGAGUAACACGUGGAUAACCUACCUAUAAGACUGGGAUAACUUCGGGAAACCGUAGCUAAUACCGGAUAAUAUUUUGAACCGCAUGGUUCAAAAGUGAAAGACGGUCUUGCUGUCACUUAUAGAUGGAUCCGCGCUGCAUUAGCUAGUUGGUAAGGUAACGGCUUACCAAGGCAACGAUGCGUAGCCGACCUGAGAGGGUGAUCGGCCACACUGGAACUGAGACACGGUCCAGACUCCUACGGGAGGCAGCAGUAGGGAAUCUUCCGCAAUGGGCGAAAGCCUGACGGAGCAACGCCGCGUGAGUGAUGAAGGUCUUCGGAUCGUAAAACUCUGUUAUUAGGGAAGAACAUAUGUGUAAGUAACUGUGCACAUCUUGACGGUACCUAAUCAGAAAGCCACGGCUAACUACGUG
Molecule: ribosomal RNA, 497 nt
Filed under: uncultured bacterium
Lineage: Bacteria
Description: partial 16S ribosomal RNA
Rfam family: Bacterial small subunit ribosomal RNA
Source: RNAcentral